This is a long non-coding RNA of Lolium rigidum, 313 nucleotides long. RefSeq lists it as uncharacterized. The record is from RefSeq and is a predicted model, not a curated record. The transcript is spliced from 2 exons. NCBI's taxonomy places the organism in Eukaryota, Viridiplantae, Streptophyta, Magnoliopsida, Poales, Poaceae.
GCAACUACAUGCAACAAGGGAGCAACACUAGGAGAAGAGCGGAACCAAAAAGUCAGGAAGGUAUAGUUCCUAUGUAAGAGCUUCAGCCAAUGAACGAAAGACAUGGGUCGUGUGCCACAUCGAGUUACAGAAAUAGUCAAAAGUUGCUUGAUAGGUCUGUAAGAAAGGAUGAUAGUUCUUGAAUGGAAUAAGACUAGAGAGGUUUGCACCGUGUGUGCUUGUGUGUUAGCAAGAGAUAUAUGGGUGACCAAUAUCACCAAGAAUAUAUUAAUAUUUAUCGGAUAAUCAGAAACCACGAGAGUGUUUGUCUGAA